UUAAAGCAACCAAGUUGAGGAAACUUGAUAGAAAGCUCACGGAUAGCAAACUUGUUAGGAUGAGGUAAACCUGAGGAAAAAGAUAUAGCGUCAAUCCCUGUACUACUUUUAAUUCUUCCUAACAUUUGAAAAGGGCCUUUCUCACGAGCCUUGCUUUCUCUCGACAAAUGAUGGCUAAAAUCCUCACUAUUCCGGAUCAUAUUGUCAAAAAUAUGCGAUAGACUCAAAAGAAAAAUUGAAGUAGUGAUAUGACAAGGAAGCCUUUAUAAACUUCUUUGGCCAGUUUAAUCAUUCAUUGAUUACUGUCAUAUUUCACUUUGGGCGGUGGGAAAUCAUGAUCAAUCCAUGGAUAUGCACGUCUACUGACUACGGUCCCAUUUGGAUACAAUAGGAACAGAUAUGAGCAUUUUUUGAGAUUUCCGAUUUGGAGCAAAUUCCGUUCCACGGGUCAACUAUGGAGAGGUUAAAGAAACGAGACUUUAAUUUUUGUCAUCUUACUAUGCCCCAGCCGUGGAAGUCGGAAUGAUGAUCCACGGAUCUAAGAUAACUAGUGAUCGUCUUUGAAGCAAAAGUGUUUAAAUACAAGUAUUGGAAAAUGUUGACAAAAGUUUUUGAUUACAUUUGCAAUCGAUUAAAAUGGUGAUAU
Molecule: non-coding RNA, 646 nt
Organism: Schizosaccharomyces pombe (fission yeast)
Lineage: Eukaryota; Fungi; Ascomycota; Schizosaccharomycetes; Schizosaccharomycetales; Schizosaccharomycetaceae
Source: the annotation of a GenBank genome assembly